CAAGAGCGUAUAUUAAAGUUGUUGCAGUUAAAAAGCUCGUAGUUGGAUUUCUGGUACAACGCGCCUGGCCCGCUUUUGUGAGUGCCGGUGCGCGUUUGCCAUCCUUCUAGAAAACGUUUCUACCCGGGUAACUGGGCCGGACUCGCGAUCUAGAUCUUUUACUUUUGAAAAAUUAGAGUGUUUAAAGCAGGCUUUUGCUGUGAAUACAUUAGCAUGGAAUAAUAAUCUAGGACUUCGGUUCUAUUUUGUUGGUUUCUAGGACCGCCGUAAUGAUUAAUAGGGAUAGUCGGGGCGUCAGUAUUCAGCUGUCAGAGGUGAAAUUCUUGGAUUUGCUGAAGACUAACUACUGCGAAAGCAUUUGCCAAGGAUGUUUUUCAUUGAUCAAGAACGAAAGUUAGGGGAUCGAAGACGAUCAGAU
This 418-nucleotide ribosomal RNA is filed under the name uncultured eukaryote. Its description in RNAcentral is "bacterial SSU rRNA". It matches the Rfam family "Eukaryotic small subunit ribosomal RNA", at positions 592 to 1013 of the family's 1831-position model. The record is from RNAcentral.